GCGAAAACUUUACAAUGCUGGCAACAGCGAUAAGGGAACCUCGAGUGCCAGGUUACAAAUCUGGCUGUCGAGAUGCCUAAAAAGCAUUUCAUAGCAAGGGCCGGGCAAGACCGGUGCCAGCCGCCGCGGUAACACCGGCGGCUCGAGUGGUAACCGUUAUUAUUGGGUCUAAAGGGUCUGUAGCCGGCCGGAUAAGUCUCUUGAGGAAUCUGGCAGCUUAACUGUCAGGCUUUCAGGAGAUACUGUCUGGCUCGAGGCCGGGAGAGGUGAGAGGUACUUCAGGGGUAGGGGUGAAAUCUUGUAAUCCUUGAAGGAGCACCAGUGGCGAAGGCGUCUCACCAGAACGGACCUGACGGCAAGGGACGAAAGCUAGGGGCACGAACC
RNAcentral lists this ribosomal RNA (384 nucleotides) under uncultured prokaryote. Its description in RNAcentral is "bacterial SSU rRNA". It matches the Rfam family "Archaeal small subunit ribosomal RNA", at positions 341 to 725 of the family's 1478-position model. The record is from RNAcentral.